AAAUUUGCAUUUCUAUUCACUUGUUUUCAUAGUUCAGUGAAAUACUAUUAACUGUACUACAUUUAUUUAUUUCAGAGAGAUAAAUAGACAGUAGAAUGACAUGAUAAAUGAUUAAUGAUAUACCACAUACAAUUAUUAGUUAUUUUGAUAAGUAUGAAUAUUUUUUAUAAUAACUAAAACAAAAUGAAGGCUUAAUUCCUUUUCCUUUCCCUGAAAUUUUCAGUUGAGCCUUUGGACCCUCAUCUUGAC
This 249-nucleotide long non-coding RNA is filed under the name Lathyrus oleraceus (garden pea). Its description in RNAcentral is "Pisum sativum (pea) long non-coding RNA (PSAT_LNC024214)". The record is from RNAcentral. Lineage: Eukaryota; Viridiplantae; Streptophyta; Magnoliopsida; Fabales; Fabaceae.